UACACACCGCCCGUCACGCCAUGGGAGUCGGUAGCACCCGAAGUCGUCGGCCUAACCCGCAAGGGACGGAGACGCCUAAGGUGAGAUCGAUGACUGGGGCG
This 101-nucleotide ribosomal RNA is filed under the name uncultured bacterium. Its description in RNAcentral is "partial 16S ribosomal RNA". It matches the Rfam family "Bacterial small subunit ribosomal RNA", at positions 1384 to 1482 of the family's 1533-position model. The record is from RNAcentral.